AGAGUUUGAUCCUGGCUCAGAACGAACGCUGGCGGCAUGCCUAACACAUGCAAGUCGAACGAGACCUUCGGGUCUAGUGGCGCACGGGUGCGUAACGCGUGGGAAUCUGCCCUUGGGUUCGGAAUAACAGUGAGAAAUUACUGCUAAUACCGGAUGAUGACGUAAGUCCAAAGAUUUAUCGCCCAAGGAUGAGCCCGCGUAAGAUUAGCUAGUUGGUGGGGUAAAGGCCUACCAAGGCGACGAUCUUUAGCUGGUCUGAGAGGAUGAUCAGCCACACUGGGACUGAGACACGGCCCAGACUCCUACGGGAGGCAGCAGUGGGGAAUAUUGGACAAUGGGCGAAAGCCUGAUCCAGCAAUGCCGCGUGAGUGAUGAAGGCCUUAGGGUUGUAAAGCUCUUUUACCAGGGAUGAUAAUGACAGUACCUGGAGAAUAAGCUCCGGCUAACUCCGUGCCAGCAGCCGCGGUAAU
This 470-nucleotide ribosomal RNA is filed under the name uncultured bacterium. Its description in RNAcentral is "bacterial SSU rRNA". It matches the Rfam family "Bacterial small subunit ribosomal RNA", at positions 8 to 524 of the family's 1533-position model. The record is from RNAcentral.